This 1958-nucleotide ribosomal RNA is filed under the name Escherichia coli. RNAcentral describes it as "partial 23S ribosomal RNA". It matches the Rfam family "Bacterial large subunit ribosomal RNA", at positions 979 to 2915 of the family's 2925-position model. Lineage: Bacteria; Pseudomonadati; Pseudomonadota; Gammaproteobacteria; Enterobacterales; Enterobacteriaceae. The record is from RNAcentral.
GGGAGACACACGGCGGGUGCUAACGUCCGUCGUGAAGAGGGAAACAACCCAGACCGCCAGCUAAGGUCCCAAAGUCAUGGUUAAGUGGGAAACGAUGUGGGAAGGCCCAGACAGCCAGGAUGUUGGCUUAGAAGCAGCCAUCAUUUAAAGAAAGCGUAAUAGCUCACUGGUCGAGUCGGCCUGCGCGGAAGAUGUAACGGGGCUAAACCAUGCACCGAAGCUGCGGCAGCGACGCUGAUGCGUUGUUGGGUAGGGGAGCGUUCUGUAAGCCUGCGAAGGUGUGCUGUGAGGCAUGCUGGAGGUAUCAGAAGUGCGAAUGCUGACAUAAGUAACGAUAAAGCGGGUGAAAAGCCCGCUCGCCGGAAGACCAAGGGUUCCUGUCCAACGUUAAUCGGGGCAGGGUGAGUCGACCCCUAAGGCGAGGCCGAAAGGCGUAGUCGAUGGGAAACAGGUUAAUAUUCCUGUACUUGGUGUUACUGCGAAGGGGGGACGGAGAAGGCUAUGUUGGCCGGGCGACGGUUGUCCCGGUUUAAGCGUGUAGGCUGGUUUUCCAGGCAAAUCCGGAAAAUCAAGGCUGAGGCGUGAUGACGAGGCACUACGGUGCUGAAGCAACAAAUGCCCUGCUUCCAGGAAAAGCCUCUAAGCAUCAGGUAACAUCAAAUCGUACCCCAAACCGACACAGGUGGUCAGGUAGAGAAUACCAAGGCGCUUGAGAGAACUCGGGUGAAGGAACUAGGCAAAAUGGUGCCGUAACUUCGGGAGAAGGCACGCUGAUAUGUAGGUGAAGUCCCUUGCGGAUGGAGCUGAAAUCAGUCGAAGAUACCAGCUGGCUGCAACUGUUUAUUAAAAACACAGCACUGUGCAAACACGAAAGUGGACGUAUACGGUGUGACGCCUGCCCGGUGCCGGAAGGUUAAUUGAUGGGGUCAGCGCAAGCGAAGCUCUUGAUCGAAGCCCCGGUAAACGGCGGCCGUAACUAUAACGGUCCUAAGGUAGCGAAAUUCCUUGUCGGGUAAGUUCCGACCUGCACGAAUGGCGUAAUGAUGGCCAGGCUGUCUCCACCCGAGACUCAGUGAAAUUGAACUCGCUGUGAAGAUGCAGUGUACCCGCGGCAAGACGGAAAGACCCCGUGAACCUUUACUAUAGCUUGACACUGAACAUUGAGCCUUGAUGUGUAGGAUAGGUGGGAGGCUUGGAAGUGUGGACGCCAGUCUGCAUGGAGCCGACCUUGAAAUACCACCCUUUAAUGUUUGAUGUUCUAACGUUGACCCGUAAUCCGGGUUGCGGACAGUGUCUGGUGGGUAGUUUGACUGGGGCGGUCUCCUCCUAAAGAGUAACGGAGGAGCACGAAGGUUGGCUAAUCCUGGUCGGACAUCAGGAGGUUAGUGCAAUGGCAUAAGCCAGCUUGACUGCGAGCGUGACGGCGCGAGCAGGUGCGAAAGCAGGUCAUAGUGAUCCGGUGGUUCUGAAUGGAAGGGCCAUCGCUCAACGGAUAAAAGGUACUCCGGGGAUAACAGGCUGAUACCGCCCAAGAGUUCAUAUCGACGGCGGUGUUUGGCACCUCGAUGUCGGCUCAUCACAUCCUGGGGCUGAAGUAGGUCCCAAGGGUAUGGCUGUUCGCCAUUUAAAGUGGUACGCGAGCUGGGUUUAGAACGUCGUGAGACAGUUCGGUCCCUAUCUGCCGUGGGCGCUGGAGAACUGAGGGGGGCUGCUCCUAGUACGAGAGGACCGGAGUGGACGCAUCACUGGUGUUCGGGUUGUCAUGCCAAUGGCACUGCCCGGUAGCUAAAUGCGGAAGAGAUAAGUGCUGAAAGCAUCUAAGCACGAAACUUGCCCCGAGAUGAGUUCUCCCUGACUCCUUGAGAGUCCUGAAGGAACGUUGAAGACGACGACGUUGAUAGGCCGGGUGUGUAAGCGCAGCGAUGCGUUGAGCUAACCGGUACUAAUGAACCGUGAGG